GAUGAAGAACGUAGCGAAAUGCGAAAAGUAGUGUGAAUUGCAGAAUUCAGUGAAUCAUCGAAUCUUUGAACGCACAUUGCGCCCGCUAGUAUUCUGGCGGGCAUGCCUGUCCGAGCGUCAUUUCAACCCUCAAGCCCCCGGGCUUGGUGUUGGGGAUCGGCGAGCCUCCGCGCCCGCCGUCCCCUAAAUCUAGUGGCGGUCUCGCUGUAGCUUCCUCUGCGUAGUAGCACACCUCGCACUGGGAAACAGCGCGGCCACGCCGUUAAACCCCCAACUUCUGAACGUUUGACCUCGGAUCAGGUAGGAAUACCCGCUGAACUUAAGCAUAUCAAUAAGCGGAGGA
RNAcentral lists this unclassified non-coding RNA (343 nucleotides) under soil metagenome. RNAcentral's name for it is "partial contains 5.8S ribosomal RNA, internal transcribed spacer 2, and large subunit ribosomal RNA". The stretch from base 1 to 120 matches the Rfam family "5.8S ribosomal RNA", at positions 35 to 154 of the family's 154-position model. The record is from RNAcentral.